AUGUGCACGGGGAAGUACGGCGACGUGCCGCGGAUGCCCGUGUUCCCGCCGGGGAAGGGGCCGGAGGUGUUCAAGGGGACGGUGAUGCACUCGCUGGACUACUGCAAGCUGAGCGAAGAGGAGACCGUUGAACUGAUGCGAGGCAAGAAGGCUGUGGUGGUUGGGUACAAGAAGAGCGCUAUUGAUCUAGCCAACGAAUGUGCCCAGGCAAACCAAGGCGAGGGUGGGCAGGCGUGCACGAUGCUGGUACGGACCCUGCACUGGGUGGUGCCAUCCUACUCCAUCUGGGGCUUGCCAUUCUCCAUGUUCUACUCAACACGCUUGUCUCAGCUCUUCUACGAGCGGCCCAACCAAGGAUUCCUCCGAUCCCUCCUCUGCCGCCUCAUGAGCCCACUGAGGGCAGGGGUGUCAAAGUUCAUCGAGUCGUACCUGUCAUGGAAGCUGCCGCUGGGAAAGUACGGGCUGACGCCAGACCACCCCUUCGUCGAGGACUACGCCAGCUGCCAGAUGGCCAUCCUCCCGGAAGGCUUCUUCGACAUGGCGGACCGCGGCCUUGUCCGCUUCAAGAGGGCCUCCGCGGGCUGGUGCUUCUCCGAGAACGGCGUAGUCCUCGACAACGGCACCAAGGUGGAGGCGGACCUUGUCUUCCUCGCCACUGGCUUUGAGGGCAAGGACAAGCUCCACGAGGUCCUGCCAAAGCCCUUCCGCGACCUCGUCGUCGGCAAGUCUUCCAUGAUGCCGCUCUACCGUGGCACGAUCCACCCGCUGAUCCCCAACAUGGCGUUCGUCGGGUUCGUGGAGAGCGUGUCCAACCUGCACACGUCGGAGCUGCGGUGCCGGUGGCUGUCGGGGCUGUUGGAGGGGCGGUUCGAGCUGCCGGACGUGAAGGCCAUGAUGGGGCACGUCGCCGGCGAGGCCGACGCCAUGCGCCGCACCACGCGGUUCUACCGCCGCCACUGCAUCUCCACCUACAGUAUCCACGACAGCGACGGCAUGUGCGCCGACCUGGGCUCCGCCACGCUCCGCAAGGCCAAUUGGAUCGCCGAGCUUUUCGCUCCAUACAAUAACAAGGACUACAAGGAACAGUAA
RNAcentral lists this ribosomal RNA (1089 nucleotides) under Triticum aestivum (bread wheat). RNAcentral describes it as "partial small subunit ribosomal RNA". Lineage: Eukaryota; Viridiplantae; Streptophyta; Magnoliopsida; Poales; Poaceae. The record is from RNAcentral.